Non-coding RNA from Triticum aestivum (bread wheat), 135 nucleotides. The record is from Rfam. NCBI's taxonomy places the organism in Eukaryota, Viridiplantae, Streptophyta, Magnoliopsida, Poales, Poaceae.
AAAGUACUCCAUCCGUCCCAAAAUUCUUGUCUUAGAUUUGUCUAGAUACGGAUGUAUCAAGUCACAUUUUAGUAUUAGAUACAUCCGUAUCUAGACAAAUCUAAGAAAAGUAAUUUGGGACAGAGGGAGUAGUUG